Molecule: ribosomal RNA, 624 nt
Filed under: uncultured bacterium
Lineage: Bacteria
Description: bacterial SSU rRNA
Rfam family: Bacterial small subunit ribosomal RNA
Source: RNAcentral
UCGAGCGGGCCUUUCGGGGUCAGCGGCGGACGGGUGAGUAACGCGUGGGAACGUGCCCUCUGGUUCGGAAUAACUCAGGGAAACUUGAGCUAAUACCGGAUACGCCCUUUUGGGGAAAGGCUUGCUGCCGGAGGAUCGGCCCGCGUCUGAUUAGCUAGUUGGUGAGGUAACGGCUCACCAAGGCGACGAUCAGUAGCUGGUCUGAGAGGAUGAUCAGCCACACUGGGACUGAGACACGGCCCAGACUCCUACGGGAGGCAGCAGUGGGGAAUAUUGGACAAUGGGCGCAAGCCUGAUCCAGCCAUGCCGCGUGAGUGAUGAAGGCCUUAGGGUUGUAAAGCUCUUUUAUCCGGGACGAUAAUGACGGUACCGGAGGAAUAAGCCCCGGCUAACUUCGUGCCAGCAGCCGCGGUAAUACGAAGGGGGCUAGCGUUGCUCGGAAUCACUGGGCGUAAAGGGCGCGUAGGCGGCGUUUUAAGUCGGGGGUGAAAGCCUGUGGCUCAACCACAGAAUGGCCUUCGAUACUGGGACGCUUGAGUAUGGUAGAGGUUGGUGGAACUGCGAGUGUAGAGGUGAAAUUCGUAGAUAUUCGCAAGAACACCGGUGGCGAAGGCGGCCAACUGG